CCAGACUCCUACGGGAGGCAGCAGUCGGGAAUAUUGCGCAAUGGAGGAAACCCUGAUGCAGCGACGCCGCGUGAGUGAAGAAGCAUUUCGGUAUGUAAAGCUCUAUCAGCAGGGAAGAAAAUGACAGUACCUGACCAAGAAGCCCCGGCUAACUACGUGCCAGCAGCCGCGGUAAUACGUAGGGGGCAAGCGUUAUCCGGAUUUACUGGGUGUAAAGGGAGCGUAGACGGUUAUGUAAGUCUGGAGUGAAAGCCCGGGGCCCAACCCCGGGACUGCUUUGGAAACUGUGUAACUGGAGUACAGGAGGGGCAGGCGGAAUUCCUGGUGUAGCGGUGAAAUGCGUAGAUAUCAGGAGGAACACCGGCGGCGAAGGCGGCUUACUGGACUGUAACUGACGUUGAGGCUCGAAAGCGUGGGGAGCAAACAGGAUUAGAUACCCCUGUAU
RNAcentral lists this ribosomal RNA (445 nucleotides) under uncultured bacterium. RNAcentral describes it as "bacterial SSU rRNA". It matches the Rfam family "Bacterial small subunit ribosomal RNA", at positions 331 to 793 of the family's 1533-position model. The record is from RNAcentral.